GACGAACGCUGGCGGCGCGCUUAACACAUGCAAGUCGAACGGAAAGGCUCUGCUUUUGUGGGGUGCUCGAGUGGCGAACGGGUGAGUAACACGUGAGUAACCUGCCCUUGACUUUGGGAUAACUUCAGGAAACUGGGGCUAAUACCGGAUAGGAGCUCCUGCUGCAUGGUGGGGGUUGGAAAGUUUCGGCGGUUGGGGAUGGACUCGCGGCUUAUCAGCUUGUUGGUGGGGUAGUGGCUUACCAAGGCUUUGACGGGUAGCCGGCCUGAGAGGGUGACCGGCCACAUUGGGACUGAGAUACGCCCCAGACUCCUACGGGAGGCAGCAGUGGGGAAUAUUGCACAAUGGGCGGAAGCCUGAUGCAGCAACGCCGCGUGCGGGAUGACGGCCUUCGGGUUGUAAACCGCUUUCGCCUGUGACGAAGCGUGAGUGACGGUAAUGGGUAAAGAAGCACCGGCUAACUACGUG
Molecule: ribosomal RNA, 468 nt
Filed under: uncultured bacterium
Lineage: Bacteria
Description: partial 16S ribosomal RNA
Rfam family: Bacterial small subunit ribosomal RNA
Source: RNAcentral